GAGAUGGUGGUGCCGAAUUCUUUUAGAGAACAUGUCAAAUGAAGGAAUGACUAGCUGUAAUGCACCAGAAGAGGCAAGUGAGCAGGAUGAGUGCAUGAAGAAGGAACCUGCCAGGAAAGUUCAGCGUGUUGAACGUGUGACUGAUGAAGGAGAUAGAAUGGGCCACGUCUCCUUUGACCAGGUGUGUGGGUGUGGAUGUGUGG
This is a long non-coding RNA of Astyanax mexicanus (Mexican tetra), 203 nucleotides long. RefSeq lists it as uncharacterized. The record is from RefSeq and is a predicted model, not a curated record. NCBI's taxonomy places the organism in Eukaryota, Metazoa, Chordata, Actinopteri, Characiformes, Acestrorhamphidae. The transcript is spliced from 3 exons.